CCUCUCACCAGGUGUCUUACCUCUGUCCAGAGACAACUAUUGGCAGAACCUAUGUAAAAUCCAACUGCAAAAGAGGCUUAAAAGUAAAAGAAAUGAGCAGUUAUGAAAAAGGACAAGAAUUAUUCAAGCAGCAACACAAAAAAGAUCAAACAGAUUCACAGUUCAGGAAAAAAAAAUCCAGACUGAAGUUCCAAGAUUCACAGUACUGGCAUCCCAGAAUGAGAAAAAAAGACAGAACGAGGCAAUGGAAUAUUUAAAAAGACGAGAGCAGAGAAUUUUCCAAAACUGAAGAAAGAAAUCAAACCACAGAUCUAAGAAAUUCCAGGUGACUGUACCUCCCUAGCAAGAUGACAUGAGGUUCCUUUGCUGAAUUUGCCUGUUCUCAUUUAUGUAACUGUGCUCACGUGGAAGGUGAGCUCAGCAGGAAGGUCCCAAAUGGCCUCACUUAUGUCUGGCAGCUUGUACUGCUACCAAAAGUUAAUGAAGUUAACACCUAGGAGACUGGACGAGAAAAAUGGACAAAACGCAUAAGUGUCUACAAAAUGAGGACAAAUGCCAAAUCAAA
Prionailurus viverrinus (fishing cat) is the source of this 565-nucleotide long non-coding RNA. RefSeq lists it as uncharacterized. The transcript is spliced from 5 exons. Lineage: Eukaryota; Metazoa; Chordata; Mammalia; Carnivora; Felidae. The record is from RefSeq and is a predicted model, not a curated record.